This 77-nucleotide transfer RNA is filed under the name Kiritimatiellia bacterium. RNAcentral's name for it is "Kiritimatiellae bacterium (gut metagenome) tRNA-Arg". It matches the Rfam family "tRNA". Rfam says of the family: Transfer RNA (tRNA) molecules are approximately 80 nucleotides in length. Their secondary structure includes four short double-helical elements and three loops (D, anti-codon, and T loops). Lineage: Bacteria; Pseudomonadati; Kiritimatiellota; Kiritimatiellia. The record is from RNAcentral.
GCGCCUGUAGCUCAACUGGAUAGAGUAUCAGACUACGAAUCUGAGGGUUACAGGUUCGACUCCUGUCAGGCGCGCCA